Pelobates cultripes (western spadefoot toad) is the source of this 229-nucleotide non-coding RNA. NCBI's taxonomy places the organism in Eukaryota, Metazoa, Chordata, Amphibia, Anura, Pelobatidae. The record is from the annotation of a GenBank genome assembly.
UAUCGUAUCCGACAGGGGUCCUCAAUUUGUCUCUCGGAUUUGGAGGGGCUUUUGUGCUGAGAUGGGGAUCUCCUUGUCAUUUACGUCCUCCUAUCAUCCACAGUCUAAUGGAGCUGCCGAACGGGCAAAAUCAAUCUGUGGAGUUAUAUUUACGCUGCUUCACGAAUGCGCACCAGGACAACUGGUCUCACCUCCUUCCCUGGGCUGAAUUCGCCAGGAACACCAUGAC